GAUCGUGAGAGGUGAACGACGCGGCGCAUCCACGAGACCGGGCCAAAGAGGCUUCUGGCUCGUAGCUGGCAAUGUUUGAAGUGCCGUCGCCGGAAGCUUACAAACACCGACUCCGUGUUGUGACAUCGUAUUAUGCCAAGCGAAACUUACGAUCUCGCUAGAUCGUUAAUUUGCGAUCCGGUUUUACGACGUCUAGUUUGCACUGAGCCACCAGUGUACUUGGCGAAAAUUCGUUAAACAACCGAUACCUUGAGGUAGUACAUUCUUUUCAAUAUUUAUCAUACCAUAUUACUUUUUUCAAAGCAAAUCCUUCUAAAUAAACUAUUUGUAUUAAUCAAUUGUAUAUACAAUUCAGAGAACGACAUAAAGAAACCGAUCGGAAAUUUUCAUGGAAGAAGAUCCUUCUCCCUAACUCAUAUACCUGACCAAAUAAAAGGGCGUGUCGUUGACCUAGGGAUUAAAACCGAUUGGGCAUACAAUCUGCUCGACACUGAGCUCAUAAUUAUUUCUAUAGUGGCGCUAGAGCUGUCAAGUGCGGCUUGCAAACGCAGCAAGAUAUACAGGCACUGUGUCGGACAUACUGCAGAAGUGCAUCAACGGUUGACACUGAGAAACGUCCUCGAGAAAUCCGUCGGGUCGGCUAGCUGGGACACGUGGCCACCUCGUUAAUUCGCUAGACAGCCAUUAAAUUAAGCUUCUCGGCCUCUGUCGCCACCGAUGAAUGCUUUGAACGAGUGAAAAAAGGGAAUCAGCAUAGCCAUGCGAUGGAUUCUUCAAAGGGUGGAGACUUUAGGAUGCUUAGAUAGAUUAAUACCGGUAUACUUGCUGGUAGAAAUAUAUGGAGAGUUUGUUGAGGCUCUACCAAAUGAAAAGAAGUGAUAUAUCCUGCAUUGAAGAUGUUAAUCGCUCACUGUAUUACAAGAUUCAUGAUCUCCUUAUGUCCUUAAAAGUUUAGGAAGUGGUAAUGAUAAUUUUUCAGUUAUGGAAAAUGUAGAUACUUGUACUUAAAGACUGAAGAGAAUCCUUGUUGCUUCGCAAACAAACAAACAAACAGAAGAGGAUUUAUUGUUUCUGAUGAUUUAGCUUGUUUGCACUUCAACACCAAUAAAGGUAGGGGGCCUAUAAAUCACUCCUGUAAACCAGCAGAUGAAUGACUUUAGGCUCUAAGGAUAAAUUCUGAUAAACUUAUUGCUAGCUUUAUGUUUAAAUUGUAUUAUUGAAACAUUGAGUUGUCAAACAAUCAAACAUGCACUUGAUCAUACUGAAAGAGUGAUAACUUAUGGAUUUUAGAAGCAAUAAAGUGCGAUUUUUAACAAACAAUAAAAGCUGUUAAUCAAGUGCACGAACAUUCAGCAAUAGAAACCAGGCUGUGAAAGAAGAGAAGAGAUCAGCAUAGGUCGACGACGUGAGAGGCAACUUCUCUUAUCAUUGACUUGAUAAAAGUUCCUCUGCUUUUCCUCCAGCUUAUCAGCUGUUCGUUUAUUUUCAAUAACUAGUUCGCAUGUCUGCCCCAAAAUAAUCGUCGCAUCACCCUCUAAUAAUCGUAUUCUGAUUUCGAUAUUGGUUUAAUUUAAGUCAGCACGGAGUAUGCUCGUACAACUGGCCUGGUUUAGCCCGUCAGCCAUAGUAAGAAGAGCUUCUAUCGAUUUCUCCAGUUCGCUUUGUAAAUCUAAACCACGUCCAACCGAUCCGCGGACUCAAUCAGAGACCUAACAUCUUCUCCACCGACGUCUACCAACGAAAUAACCGGAACCCCUGUUCGUGACAAAUGUAGCGAGAUCUCUCCGAUGCUCCUGAACGAUUCCCAACGUAGAGACUCGUGUUUGAAGCUCAAAGCCGCCGAUGCGAUGGGACAAGGAGUUUGACACGGCUCUGGAAGGGAAUGUUGACGAGUGAGCAACAGCUGAGCACUUAGCCGAGCACGAGGAAAGGGAGUAUAUCCCGGGGGAGUCGUUGAGACUUCCGGCGGCCGCCGACAGAGAAUCCUGGAUACGUCCUCCGGCGGAUAUCUCGUAAAUUUUGACAAUAAGAGGGUAUACGCGACCCGUCGAACUCAUUUAUUUUAAGAGUGAAUGUACAUUAGGAGCUACUCAUAUCGCUUUAUCGCUGAAUGAGCUCAUUAGCCGUGUAUCAGCAUCAAACCGCGUGUAAUUUCGCUGAUUAUUCAUUUUAAUGCUAAUCGAGGCCGUUUUUUUCGUUAACAAUUAAGCACUUCUACUGGGAAAUGACUAAGAAAUUUAUUGAUUUAUACGUCCCAUGACGUAUUCAGAUAUGUUUACGAACAUCAUGGAUAAAUAUUUUGAUCUGUAGGAGAGAUCUAAAUAUUAUAAAAUGUAAAGCUAUGUACAGACAUUGCGUGGCAGAAGCACGAGACUGCCUCGCGAGGCGUGCAUUUCACUGUUUGUACAUAACUGAAACUGUUAAGAACCUUUGAUCUCGCUAAAAAGCUGACAAACAUCUUGAAACAUUUUACUGAAUUGAUAUAGCUAUUAAUUGAUUUUGUUAAAAAAAGAAAUAAUUAUGCAACGGUGGAAUGUACAAGCUAAGCCUCAAUAGGGAGAAAAUUAAUUGUUAUACCUACAUCAAAUUUAAUGAACAAGUGGUUGUGAAAUCUCUGACUAAAAAUCGAGCAUCUAUUAAUUAAUUUUGUUUAAAAAGAAAUAUCCAUGUAUGUAGCGAUAGAAUGUGUAAAUCCCAAUAGGAACAAACAAAUAAUUGAUAUGUAGGAAGUUUAAUGAAAUCAGAGAAUUAAUUUAGCAUCGAAUGAUUUUGCUGUUGAAAUCCCUUAAGAUUGGCGUAUGUUAAUUGAUCCCUGAUUUAUGGAGGUGCAGACGACUGUUUUGACGUAAUUAGAAGAUCCUCUUAUCUCCUUUGGCAGAAGGAAGAGCCAUUUAUCUGCUUGUUUACUAAACACCGCGUUAAGUUCAUAGGAAUUUUGCUGAUCGCGGAAUCAAGUUUACAAACUCGUUCCUGGCCACGGUCUUCUAGAUAUUUCAAUAAUAAUAAUAUGUCACGAAAUCUACCUUUUUAUUUUCACUCGCGUAUUGUGAUAGUAAACCAUCUCAUUCAUGAGAUUCAUGAUCAUAAACGUUUAGUAUGAAUUGAAAUGUUAGAUCAAUGAUGACCCAGAGCUUCUAGAGGUGAACUUUGCACAUGACGUAAAAGACCACGUCGUUAAUGUCCGACGGCACCGCCAGGUUUAGAGGAAUCUAAUUCUGAUUUUUCUGAUG
Bombus pyrosoma is the source of this 3230-nucleotide long non-coding RNA. RefSeq lists it as uncharacterized. The transcript is spliced from 3 exons. Lineage: Eukaryota; Metazoa; Arthropoda; Insecta; Hymenoptera; Apidae. The record is from RefSeq and is a predicted model, not a curated record.